This 274-nucleotide ribosomal RNA is filed under the name uncultured bacterium. Its description in RNAcentral is "partial 16S ribosomal RNA". It matches the Rfam family "Bacterial small subunit ribosomal RNA", at positions 523 to 796 of the family's 1533-position model. The record is from RNAcentral.
AUACGGGGGGUGCAAGCGUUACUCGGAAUCACUGGGCGUAAAGCGCGCGCAGGCGGCUAUUUAAGUUGGAUGUGAAAGCCUACGGCUCAACCGUAGAACUGCAUCCAAAACUAUUUAGCUAGAGUGUGGGAGAGGAAGAUGGAAUUAGUUGUGUAGGGGUAAAAUCCGUAGAGAUAACUAGGAAUACCAAAAGCGAAGGCAAUCUUCUGGAACACUACUGACGCUGAGGCGCGAAAGCGUGGGGAGCAAACGGGAUUAGAAACCCUAGUAGUCC